RNAcentral lists this ribosomal RNA (520 nucleotides) under uncultured Glomus. RNAcentral's name for it is "SSU rRNA". It matches the Rfam family "Eukaryotic small subunit ribosomal RNA", at positions 569 to 1090 of the family's 1831-position model. Lineage: Eukaryota; Fungi; Glomeromycota; Glomeromycetes; Glomerales; Glomeraceae. The record is from RNAcentral.
AGCAGCCGCGGUAAUUCCAGCUCCAAUAGCGUAUAUUAAAGUUGUUGCAGUUAAAAAGCUCGUAGUUGAAUUUCGGGAUCAAAGGAUCGGUCAUGCCUUGGUAUGUACUGGUUUUAUUGGUUCUCACCUUCUAAAGAACCAUAAUGUCAUUCAUUUGAUGUUAUGGGGAAUUAGGACUGUUACCUUGAAAAAAUUUAGAGUGUUUAAAGCGGGCUUACGCUUGAAUACAUUAGCAUGGAAUAAUGAAAUAGGACAUCAGAUUCUAUUUUGUUGGUUUCUAGGAUCGAUGUAAUGAUUAAUAGGGAUAGUUGGGGGCAUUAGUAUUCAAUUGUCAGAGGUGAAAUUCUUGGAUUUAUUGAAGACUAACUACUGCGAAAGCAUUUGCCAAGGAUGUUUUCAUUAAUCAAGAACGAAAGUUAGGGGAUCGAAGACGAUCAGAUACCGUCGUAGUCUUAACCAUAAACUAUGCCGACUAGGGAUCGGAUGAUGUUAAUUUUAUAAUGACUCAUUCGGCACCUUA